GUAGAUGCUAUGGCCACAGUUCAGGGUAAUUUACAUUGUCCCUCCAGGUCAUGGAUAGGUGUUAAUAAUACCUGGGCAGAGAGCUGGAAAAACUAACACUUAACUUCUAUCUUAAUAAUCUGAGUAAAAGUAUCUUUAGUAUCAACAUGGAGAAAUUGCUUAUUGGACAGCAUAAGAAGCCCCCAUCUCUUUCCUGAACCCUUGACACGUCUUCAAUGGAGUCUUCCUUGCCGUCACCCUCAAGGAGCUCGAGAUGCUGUUCUUUCACACUGUGCUGCCUGCUUUCCUCGUCCAGUCCAGCCUCUUUUGCUUGCCCGUUGUCUCUUCACUGCAGGGUUAAAUUCCACGAAAGGCUAAAUGACGUUCCUGUGACUCCCAUAACACAUGACCACCCACGUGGCUGCACAAGAUGGCAGAGACCUAUUCUCUCACCGUUCUGGAGGACUUGGGUUCUUAGUUCCAUGUCCUGCUUCCAGAAGCUCGGGGAGAGAAUUCUUCCUUGUGUCUUCCAGGUUCUAGAAGCAACUGCCUUCCCCGUUGUUACCUGGCUCCUAGACUCACCCUUCCAACUCCGUCUUGACUUUCAUAUGACUUUUUUCCCCUGCAUCUGCAUUUUUGUUUCUUCUCUUAUACAGAGCUGGCAUCUGAGUGUGCUGGUUUAUACCUGUCGUCUCAGCAUUCAAAGGGCUGAGGCAGGAUUGCUGUGAGUUGGAAACCAGCCUAGAUGUCCUUGAAAUUUCAAAAGAACCUGAAGUACGACAGCCAGAAGGAUUCGGAAACAGAGACUGAAGUAGAAGAGCUAAUUAGGAAGAUAUCUGGGAAUGGUGUCUGGCAUUUAUCGUGUUAAAUGCAGUCCGAGUAGCAAGCCCAAACAAAACGCGGUAAAAUAAAAGCUGAAAGAGGAGAAUGGCAUCCAAUAAAAGUUAUAGGGAAUGUUAAUUACUAAUCAAAUAUUAAUUCUCCAACUGAGACUAGUGCACAGAUGAAGGGCAGAAGACUCUUCAGUGGAUUCCUAUGUCUUGCAGUGAGAGUGACUUCCUAUACCCAAGGAGAUGGACACUCCAGUAAUGUGCUGAUGAACAGCAGAGCUAGUGUUUGUUCUCCAGCCCUGCUUUUAUUCAAGGAACCCUGGAUUUUCUACUGCUGCAACCAAAACUGUGAUUUAAAUUUAAGAAAAGGGAUCAGCUUUCCCUUAACCAUGUCCUUCUGCCACGAUGGUCUACCUCAUCACAGUUGAGAAACAGUGGAGCCAGACAACCUUGGGUUAAAACCCCUUCCUGAUCGACUGUGGUCUGAGGAUAAGCCACAUAAACCUUCUCUUCCUCAAGUUGCUUCUGCUCAUGGUGUUUAUCACGGCAAUAGAAAGUAAACUAGAAUAGUAACCUUCUUAGAUCUUUGCAUCGUUACUUUUGAUUAUCUGUACAAAGACUGGGAAGUUACAGAGAUUUCACCAGUGGGCUUCUUGCUGUCUUCUUUUGUAUCCUUGUCAGAGUAGAAAAAAAUGUAUGUUGUAUGUUUGAUAUUAUUUCAUAGGUAAUUCAGGUUUUGUUUCUUUUAAAAUAUCUUUUCUAUUUUCUUUGAGUUUGUUUGAAUUGUAUUCAGUGUUUUCAAAUUCCCUAAUCUUCUUUUAUUCAUUUUUUUCUGAUUAAUGAUCUUCUUUUAAUGCAAAGCUAUCAAUUUAUUUUGAAUAUCCUACUUUUGGUCUAGUAUUUCUAUUUCUUCCUGAUUCUUUUUCUCUUAACUUCUUCUAUAAAUUGUAUCUGUGUUUCCUAGCAUUUCCCCAUCUGCUUCCCUAUUCUUUUAACCUUUUCCUGUGAAUUCUUUAAGCAAUUCAUUGAAUUGUUGCAGUUGUUUCAAAGUCUCUUUGUAUUAAUCCCAACAUCUGUACCAUCUGUUGGCCUGAUUCUAUUGACUGGUUAUUUUUAUUUAUAAAUGUAUUAUUAUCACACAUGCAUGAUACAUGUGGGGGAACACAAAUGUCAUGGUUUAUGUGUGAUGUGUGGUGGUCUGACAACAACUUCAUGGAGCUGGUCCUUACCUUCCACCAUUUUGUGUUCCUAGAAUUGAUCUCGGGUAAUCAAGCACCUUUACUCACUGAGCUAUCUCACUUGCUCACUGAAUAAUAACAAAUAAUGUGAGUCUUA
Molecule: long non-coding RNA, 2144 nt
Organism: Mesocricetus auratus (golden hamster)
Lineage: Eukaryota; Metazoa; Chordata; Mammalia; Rodentia; Cricetidae
Exons: 6
Source: RefSeq, a predicted model, not a curated record